This 760-nucleotide ribosomal RNA is filed under the name Heimioporus sp. RNAcentral describes it as "LSU rRNA". It matches the Rfam family "Eukaryotic large subunit ribosomal RNA", at positions 112 to 871 of the family's 3401-position model. Lineage: Eukaryota; Fungi; Basidiomycota; Agaricomycetes; Boletales; Boletaceae. The record is from RNAcentral.
AAUUUUGAAUCUGGCGGUCUCUGUGGCCGUCCGAGUUGUAAUCUAGAGAAGCGUCUUCCGCGCUGGACCGUGUACAAGUCUCCUGGAAGGGAGCGUCAUAGAGGGUGAGAAUCCCGUCUUUGACACGGAUACCAGGGCUAUGUGAUGCGCUCUCGACGAGUCGAGUUGUUUGGGAAUGCAGCUCAAAAUGGGUGGUAAAUUCCAUCUAAAGCUAAAUACAGGCGAGAGACCGAUAGCGAACAAGUACCGUGAGGGAAAGAUGAAAAGAACUUUGGAAAGAGAGUUAAACAGUACGUGAAAUUGCUGAAAGGGAAACGCUUGAUGUCAGUCGCGUCGACCGGGGAUCAACCUUGCUUUCCGGCUGGGUGUACUUCCUGGCUGACGGGUCAGCAUCAGUUUCGAUCGUCGUACAAUGGCAAGGGGAAUGUGGCACUCUUCGGAGUGUGUUAUAGCUUCUUGUCGCAUGCGGCGCUUGGGACUGAGGAACUCGGCACGACUCCGUUUGUGUCUAGGAUGCUGGCAUAAUGGCCUUAAGCGACCCGUCUUGAAACACGGACCAAGGAGUCUAACAUGCCUGCGAGUGUUUGGGUGGAAAACUCGAGCGCGAAAUGAAAGUGAAAGUCGAGACCUCUGUCAUGGAGGGCACCGACGCCCGGACCUGAGUCUUUGACGACGGAUCUGCGGUAGAGCAUGUAUGUUGGGACCCGAAAGAUGGUGAACUAUGCCUGAAUAGGGUGAAGCCAGAGGAAACUCUGGUGGA